UGGAGGGGCCCCAAGGACUCAUGCAGCUGCCCUGUGCUUUGAGCCUGUGCAUGGAGCCUGUGCAUAAGGCUGUUUGUGUCUGAUUAUUUCCUGCCUCUGCCAGGCCCACUUCCCUCUGCCCUUUCCCGUCUGGCUCCUCUGCUUUUUUGCUUUCUUUUCAGGACUCUGAGUUGCUAGGCAACUCCAGUCUGGAGCCGAGGUUCUCACCGUGGAGAGCAGCUUCCAUGCAGGAACCUGGAGUCUGAUGGAGCUCGUGAUUACAGGUUUAAUGUGAUGACAGCUACAUUUACCAUGCCACUCAAGUUUGACCCCAAGAAGAUCAAAGUCCUGUACCAGAGGUACACCACUGGCACCACUGGGGAAGUUGGUGCCAUGGCUACCUGAGGGUCUGUCUCCAAGAAAGACUGGUGGUUUCACUGGGGAGGUAACCAGUGACUUGGAAGACAGUGGAACUCACCAUUCAGAACAGACAGGUCCAGACUGAGGGGGUGCCUUGUGCCUCUACCUUGAUCAUCAAUCUUCAGGGAAAUAGCUGUAGCCAGAAAGAAGCAGGAAAACAUUAAGCACAGUGGAAACGUCACCUUUGAUAAUGUUGUCAAUGUCGCCCAAGAGAAGCAGCGCUGAUCUUUAGCUAGAGACCUGUAUGGAAUCAUCAGAGAGAUCCUGAGGACUAUGCCGUCAGUGGGCUGCAGUGCUGACGCCCACCACCUCCAUGACAUCAUAGAUGACAUCAACAGUGGUGCCAAGGAAUGCCCAGUGAAUCAGGAACUACAGAGGGAAAUCUCUCAACAAAAAGAACGUUUGAAGACGGAAAAAAAAUUACCAUGGGAAAGUGUUUAAUUUUGGAAAUGCACCCAGGAAAAUAGUGUUAGUCCUCUGCCACAUCCUAGGAAGAUGGUGUGAAGCUCUUUCUUUGACAGUGGGAAGUGAGGUGGGGGGCUCAGGGAGGGGAGGACGUCAGCUUAGCCUCACAGAGCAAGUCACUACACCGAGGUGCAGCAUGCUGGUGGAGUGGGGGCCCUCCUCCUGGUGCCUUGUUGGCUUGCUCUCCCCUCCUUUCCAGGUUAGAGAUUUGAGUCAGAGAUGAGGCAAAUGCUUAGGCAAGGAAAAAUGUUUCGCCAGCUUGCUCCACAGGGAAGGAGAGUCCGUGAUAUGAUAUGAAGCCGAAAAUAGCGUGCCUUAGGAAAGAAACUACCAGCCGAUAACGAGCUUGUGGUGGAGGUGUGGGGCCCUCCUCCAGGAAGGUGGGAGUUGAAAUGGGACUGCGACGACGCUGCCUGUGUGACUGCUGAACGCAGAUGCUCUGGGCUGGGAUUUGGAAUCCGUGUCACAAGAACAGGGUCCCGCUGGAGCCGCUCGUUCAGCAGUGCUUUCCUGCUGGGGUCUGUGGAACAUCCUGACACAGGCCGGGGCUUGAACAAGGGCCAAGGAUUUAUCCAGAAACAGCAAGCCCUGUACAAAGACGAUCCUGGAUUUAGAACAGAUGAAAGGUACUUUGAGGGAGUUCAAAGAACGGGCACUCGCUCCCCGAUGGCUGCUUGCUGGAUAUUUUGAGAGGUGACUGGGGCAUGAUUUCUCUCUCUGCUUCUCCCAGGAGUCUUUUCCAACACGGUUUCUCUCUGUUAGUAUAUUCCAGAGCUUUCAAGCUGGAAAGUCUUAAUAUGGAAAUUCCUGCUGCGGUGGGAACAGGUCUCUCCCAGUUGGGACUUUUGAAGGCCGUUAUUCUGAUGAUGUUAAUGGUGAUGAUUAAUUGGCACUAAUGAUGGAGAUGGUGAAAGUAAUGAGGCCAACCUGUUUAGGUGGAGUGCAUAGGCACACUUGAGGGUAGGGAGAGUGAUGAUGAGAGCAAUGGCAGGGAGCUCCAUUGUAGGAAUUUGUUGAGAAAUCUGGGGAACUCACAUUAGCUUGAACUUCAUUUUCUGGCAAUGUAAAUUAUUGGCACACACAAAAAAAUCACCUCUGGGAAGGGAAGGAGAAAAUACCUUUUGCCUGUAAAACCAAAUACUUAAUGUCAAACUCCAUGUCACCAGCUUUCUGAUGGGUUAUGUAGUGAGCACACGGAAAUGCUCAUGGAGGUACAAACUCAAUAUGAUAUGAGUGGCCACAAAACAAAUUAGUGAUGGCUAAAAUGUGGGAUUAAUGUAAAAAGGAGCCAUUGUCCUCAUUUCUCUGCUUUGAAAGGUGUCUGGAGGGGAAGGGUGAGAAAGACAACUAGCGAAAUCUUCAGGAUUGGAGAUAAUCCCCUUGCCUUCCAAGAGCACUUUGUGGAGGGCUGUGGGUAUAUCAGGUCUUUCUGCUUCCCUAUGUCCUCCCUUAAGUCAUGACAUUCUUGCCUUGCCAAGUCACUGAUGAGAUACAACAUUAAGGCAAAGCAACUUUGGGGUCCAGCCUACUCUUACUCAUAGUAUUGAGGGUACCCCCAACAGCAAUGGGCAAGUUAAGGGUCCUCUUUGAGGGCUCAAAAAUGGAGAACAACACUAGAUGUGUAUAAUCCCGAUUUUACUAAUUACCAAAAAAGUCCAUACAAUGGUGACCAAUCCUAUCACUUCCUGUUGAGUUGAGAGACAAUGUCAGCUGUCAUUGGUGAAAUUAUGAAGCAUGAUAAACUUAAUUUCAGAAUUUCUAGACUUCCCUUAUUUUGAGCUUUUCUUCUCUGAAAUGUCCUCAGCCAUGAACCCCUGCCUCAGUUGUGCACAAUUAUCCCCUAAAGUACAGGGACAAGGUCCCAUGAACACAGUUACUUCUCAAUGUUUGGGCUGAAUUUCAAUAAUGUUGUCACUGUGUACAUAAAUUCCCUCCUCAGGGCAUUUCCUUCCUGUGGGAGGAGCCUGGAGAGGAAAAUAUCUAUCCCAAUAGGAGAUCUGAAAUGGUGGAUUAGCAUAGAGUUGGCCCCCUUCUCUUCAAAUCACACCAUUUAGGUGGUGCCAUGUGCUAGGACUAUGGUAGUGGAGUCUCAGUGAGGGAUCUGCCUGAUAUAUCUGGGGCUGUGAUUCUAUCAUUUGCAUCUUUAUUUACUGAGGAUGUGAAGACAGAGUAUCCUACAACAUGUUGGGUAUCAUAGAGCACUCAUCAUUUCCUAGAUGGUGCUCUAAGUCUAGAGCAAUCCAUAUCUUCACUUGUUUUCCUGUAUUUUUCAAUUCCUUUUUUUAGUGGGUAAAAUAUUUCUUCAUGCUGGGUAUCUAGAAGUACAAUUGAAAUGAAUGAUGCAGAAGGAAACAAAGGAUAGAAUGUGGACAAAAAGUAUUUGCUUUGCUGGUUCUUGUGAGGAAGUUAUUAAGAAGACUCGAAAAAAGACUCAUUAGCAGGAAAAAGUUUGGAACUAAGUAAUAUAGUGAAAAUUAGAAACCUCAUUCAUUCACACAUUGAUAUAUUAAAUAUGCAUGGACUAAUUUUUAUAGGGCCAAAGAAUUGAGGACUGAAAGUAUUCUAACAAAGAAAUCUGUGAGACAGCAAAGCAAAAAGGAAGUGCCAAUUCCAGUAACUAAUUGCCUUGUAAGAAAUCAUCCCAAAACUCAGUGACUUAAAAUAUAGCAAUUAUUGUAUUAUUAUCAUCUCUCAAAAUUCAGGGGAUUGUCUAGGCUCUGCUAGGCAGUUCUUGUUCAGGAUCUUCCAUGAGUUUGCACGCACAUGGUGAGCAGGACUGGCGUCAUUUUAAAGGCUUUCUUGCUUGCAUAUUGGUGGUUGUUGCUGGUUAUUGCCUGGAAGUUCCCCUGGGGAUCUCAGCCAGAACACCUACAUGUGGACUCUGUGUGGCCUGGACUUCCUUACAGCGUUGCAGCUGGGUUCCAAGAAAGAGCAUCUCAAGAGAACUAGGUAAAAGCACUAUCUUCUUUCAUGACCUGGACUUAGGAGACUCAGGAGUCACACAGCACCAUUUCAUUGAUAGGAAAAAUUCCAGUAAUAUUCAAGAAGAGGGAACAUCCACCUUGUAUCUUCAUAGGAGGAGUAUCAACGUCAGUCAUAGAAAGAGCAUGAAGGAUGGGAAGACUUGUUGCACUCACUUUGGAAAAUACAACCUACCAUAGGUGAGGUAGACUCAGAUAUUAGUGGGUCUUGACUGAAUUUUUGCCAAGGAAUAAAUCCCUUCAAACCAGGGAUGAUUAGAGAGCAAUACAGGGAAAUAUCUGAUCUAAUGAGUGAUUCUGUAACAUGAAUAAUAAUGGUUAAAAGAGGGUGAAGGAUGCAUACCAUGACAUGUCAUUAAUGAUAGACAUAACUUCUGAGAAAUGUGUGAUCAGGCAGCCUCAUCAUGGUACAGGCAUCACAGAGUGUACUUAAACCAAUAGGUGAUGGUGUCAUUAGGAAAUAAGAUUUUAUGGUACCUGUGUUGCAUAUGAGGUAUGUUGUUGACCAAAGCAUCAUUCUGUGGUGCGUGACUGUAGUUUAUUGGAGCUUCAGGUAGUUGGAGCAGACUUCAUGGAGGAAGUAGCAGCUUGAUCUGACUUUGAGGCUCCAGUAGGUUUCAUUCAGUUAUGUUUAAUUUUUAUUCAUUCUCUUCCCAAACUCCCUCUUGUAAAGAAAUGAAAAUAAAAUUAUACUUACUGGCAAUUCCCCCAUACUGAGACUACCGCUUAACAUUUCCAUGUACUGACUCUCCCCUAUGCCAACCCCUACCCCCAGAAGUGUAUUGGAAAAUUCACAUUUGGAAUUCUAACUAUUUUACUUACAAUAUUUUGUAAACAUUUUCCUUCAUUAUUAAAUAUUCUUCUAAAAUAAAAUCUUGAAUGGCUGCAUAGUA
Oryctolagus cuniculus (rabbit) is the source of this 4738-nucleotide non-coding RNA. The record is from RefSeq and is a predicted model, not a curated record. NCBI's taxonomy places the organism in Eukaryota, Metazoa, Chordata, Mammalia, Lagomorpha, Leporidae.